UACACUUAUUUAAUUGCACAUUCCAGAAGAUCUCAUUUUUUUAUUCGCUGCUAAGAAUUAGGUCAAGUAACCAGAUCUCGUAUCUCCCUCAAUUAUAUGAUCUCUGUUUUUGCUCAAUUUUGAUCUCAAUUCUCUUCUUUCUUCUCGAUUUGUUAUUCGAUUGUGAUGCUGAAGAGGCCAUGCUUGCGAUCUGAGUUCUGAAAGUAUCUCUCUAUUUCGUGUCCCCUUGAACGGCAAAAGGCGGCAUCUAUUUGUAGGGAAGACUAGGGCGAAGUUGUCGCCAAAUGUUGAAAAGGAGUUGACGGAGGAGUUAUGGUGACUCCCUAUGUAUCAUGAUUUUGCAUUCUUCCAACCUAUAGUGCUACUGGAAAUCAUGAGUGAGCACAUGGAAUUCGUGAAUCAUCAGCUUACAAUUGAAGUCUGCUGCAAUUAAAAUUUCAUGAUGAGAAUAUGGGAUGCAAUUACCUAUAAUGUAUGAUUUGCAAAACAUUACCCUAGUUCUGGAGCUUCUGCUUGUGGCUUUUGUGAUUGCUGCUUUGGUGGGCUCAGUUCAUGCUGGACUGGCGCUUCCCCGUUCUCAGUGGUGCUAGCAUCAUUCAUAACAUGUGAGCUAAUAAGAGCUCUUCCAUUCAAACCUCUUCGUCCAUAAACCUGGAUUAACCAAGAUUCUAUUCUUAGGCCUGAUCAUUCUUUCAAGGAGAAGAAUGAUACCGGUGAUGGUCUUUUAAGCUUUGAAGUUGCUGUCUCAAGCUAGAUGCCUCCCCCUGCCAGAACUAGUGAGUAUAGAGAAAACCAUUUAGUUUAUACAAUAUACGUACAUAUUAUGCUAGCUAAUUAAUUUCAAGUAAGAUUUUGAACUAAACCUGAAAAGAAUAGUAGUGGAACAUUCUUUAAUGAUUACUAUUAUCAGAAGUAUCAAGCACUUGUAAGGCUAAUGCUUUAGCUACAGACCUCAGUUAUGAAAUUUCAGUUAUGUUGAACCUCCAGGCGAUCACAAAUGAAGUCAAGAUCCAGUGGGAUAAGUAUGUAUACAAAUAUACAGACUGGUCUAGGUUUUUAAUAUGACAUACUUCUUGUCAAGCCUUUUUAUUUCUCUCUGGUAUAUUGGAUCAGUUUUUCGUAAAUGUAUCAGGUAUAUUGGGACCUUCCUUCUGGUAUAGAAACUGGUGUAUUUAAGGCCUUCAGGAAAUAAAAAAUGCAUGUUAUUGGUAUAUGGAAGUACCUUCAUAAAUUUAUACACAGCGUUUCUAAUAA
Molecule: long non-coding RNA, 1254 nt
Organism: Asparagus officinalis (garden asparagus)
Lineage: Eukaryota; Viridiplantae; Streptophyta; Magnoliopsida; Asparagales; Asparagaceae
Exons: 4
Source: RefSeq, a predicted model, not a curated record